Molecule: transfer RNA, 89 nt
Filed under: Nostoc sp. HG1
Lineage: Bacteria; Bacillati; Cyanobacteriota; Cyanophyceae; Nostocales; Nostocaceae
Description: tRNA-Ser
Rfam family: tRNA
About the family: Transfer RNA (tRNA) molecules are approximately 80 nucleotides in length. Their secondary structure includes four short double-helical elements and three loops (D, anti-codon, and T loops).
Source: RNAcentral
GGAGAGGUGGCCGAGUGGUUUAAGGGCGCAGACCUGGAAAGUCUGUUAGGUGGAAACGUCUACCGAGAGUUCGAAUCUCUCCCUCACCG